GAUGAACGCUGGCGGCGUGCCUAAUACAUGCAAGUCGAGCGAACAGAUGAGGAGCUUGCUCCUCUGACGUUAGCGGCGGACGGGUGAGUAACACGUGGAUAACCUACCUAUAAGACUGGGAUAACUUCGGGAAACCGGAGCUAAUACCGGAUAAUAUAUUGAACCGCAUGGUUCAAUAGUGAAAGACGGUUUUGCUGUCACUUAUAGAUGGAUCCGCGCCGCAUUAGCUAGUUGGUAAGGUAACGGCUUACCAAGGCAACGAUGCGUAGCCGACCUGAGAGGGUGAUCGGCCACCCUGGAACUGACACACGGUCCAGACUCCUACGGGGGGCAGCAGGAGGGAAUCUUCCGCAAGGGGCGAAAGCCUGACGGAGCAACGCCGCGGGAGUGAUGAAGGUCUUCGGAUCGUAAAACUCUGUUAUUAGGGAAAAAAAAAUGUGUAAGUAACUAUGCCCGUCUUGACGGUACCUAAUCAGAAAGCCCCGGCUAACUACGU
RNAcentral lists this ribosomal RNA (496 nucleotides) under uncultured bacterium. RNAcentral's name for it is "partial 16S ribosomal RNA". It matches the Rfam family "Bacterial small subunit ribosomal RNA", at positions 28 to 506 of the family's 1533-position model. The record is from RNAcentral.